Molecule: RNA transcript, 5008 nt
Organism: Galleria mellonella (greater wax moth)
Lineage: Eukaryota; Metazoa; Arthropoda; Insecta; Lepidoptera; Pyralidae
Gene name: protein Son
Exons: 14
Source: RefSeq, a predicted model, not a curated record
CAUAAUGUCAUGUGUCAUGUCAUAGAAACAGCAAUAUGGCUUAUUAAUGUUUUCAUUUUUAUAUAAUUCACGUUUUAAUUGUAUUCUUAAUGCAAAUUAAAAUGACUAGUUUGAUAAAUAAAAUAGAACAAUUAAUUAAAAGGGAAAAAACUACUCCAGAAAGGAAACAAAAGGAUGAUUCAACUAAAUCAUCGAGUGAGAUUUUGUCGGAGCUUUUCGGUGCUUUUAAUGCAGAUCCGCCUAAAAUCGAUGAAGUUACCGUAAAGAAAUCAAAGAAGGGUAAAAAGAAACACAAAAAAGAGAAGAAGAAGCGCAGCCGGAGUAGCAGCAGCAGUAGUGAUUCUGAUGACAGUGAGUAUUCCCAUAAACGUAAAAAACGGAAAAAAAGUAAAAGCAAAAAACGUAAAGACUACGGACGAUCUCCCUCGUAUUCUCCUCGUUCAAGAACUCCUGUGCGAAUUAAACAUGAUCCUGUGACAGUCAAAAGUGAAACCAAACAUGCUAAAAAAUCAGAAGAUAUUAAAGUCAAAGAGGAAAAGAUCAAGACUGAAGUUAAAACUGAGAAAGUUAAAACUGAGCAAGUUAAAACAGAACCAAAAGAAGAACUUAAAAAGCAAGUUCCUAUUAAAACGGAAGAUUCAAACAGCAUUAGUUUUAUUGAUACUAGUUUGAUCCCUAUGCCUGAAUCUCCUAAAGAUCAAAACGAUCUGAGAAACAAAUUGGACACUAAGAAAAAUGAAACAAAUACUGAAAAUGAUAAGUCCAAAGGUAAAAUUCAAAUUAAGAAUUUAAAAUUUAGUACUGUGUUUGAGGAGACUGUAAAGAAAGCAGAAGAAGAGGCAAGAAAAAAAGCAGAGAAAUAUGAAGAAGGGGAAUACACAGAUUCAUCUAGUGAUUCUGUUAAGGAAGUUGGGUCAAACUCACAGUUUCCCAAAUCUUCAGACCCUGGAGGCAUUCUCAAAAAACAAGCUGCAGAAGAAUCUAAAUUAUCUGAAGAAGAAAAAAAUAGCACUAAAAAGAGCAAAACUACAGAGAGUUCCCGCAAAUCUUCUAGAAGAGAUAGCAGUAGAUCUCGGAAAAGAUCUACAAGCAAAUCGAGGAGGUCAAGGUCACGUUCAACAAGGCGGCAUCGUCGUUCAAGUUCGAAAUCGCGGCGGAGAAGUAGAUCCCGACAUCGGUCAAGAUCGCGGAGAAGGUCACACUCUAGAUCCAGAGUGAGGUCCCGUCAUCGAUCGCCCCGACAUAGGAGUAGAAGGUCCAGAUCACCUACUGGAGUAAAAUUAGCAGAUAGUGAGAAGAAACGUCUUCUGGAAGUAGCCAGAAGGAAUGCAAUUAAUAUGCUCAAAAAUGGCGCAGUCCCCGCCGGUGCAGCUGCAUUGCCGCCGCAUACGAGAAAUCAAGUCAUGGCUGCCAUACAAUCUGGUGGUAAAUCUGUUGAUGAGCUAACAGACUUUUGCAAGCAUUUGUCAAAGAAGGAAGCUCUUGGUGAACUGUCUUCAGUGUCCUCAAAUGAUGAUGAUAUGAGUGAAAAUGAGGAUACCCUAGCAUUCCAUCAUCCAUUCCUUGUAAAGGAAAAAGCACCUAUUGUCAUGAAUAUAAGGGGUGGUGCCCCAUUACCUAUCAAAACUACUACACUGCCCGUAGCCAACAAAGAGGAACUCAGACUCCAGUUUCCAGUAUCUUCUGGCUCCCAGCACAGAGAGAAGGCUUCAGAAUGGGUCCCAGUCUCGCCACCUAAGAAAGAUAUGCAAGUUGCAAAGCUAAAUUCGAAGCCAACAAAAACAACAACAACAGCGAUCGCUUCAAACACUGCAGAAACUGCAAAGCCGGGUCCGCUUGCGCUACCAGCUCCGCCCGUACCCGAAACGCCUGCCUAUAUGAAGAGUUUCACAUCGGGAACCCAACUGUCUUCAGUACCCCCUGCGUUACCUGCGCCAGGACCUCAAGCAUACCCACCGGGAAUUGAAAAUUCCAAAAUAGAUGUAGCGUCGAUCGUCUCCCAAAAAAUAGCAAUGAUACGCAAAGAACAAGAGGAAAAUGAACUAUCUAAUACUUGCGGAUUUGGCUGGUCAUCGAAGGAUUCUACCCUGGGUCAGUUCACAGGAUCAACAGGAGCACAAAUCCUUACACCCAGGGAAUUAGCUAGUGGAGUCCAAGCCUGGGCUAAGAAGCUCAAAGUGCCAUCGGUCGGGAUACGCGUACACUGAUGAUCCAGUUUGCGGCCUAUCGGUCAGAACUUAUAAUACUCAAGUAUUAUGCUUUCUGACCUCUUUCAUUGUGAUUGUAGUGUGAUGAUUUCAACAACAAUAAACACUGGUCAAAAUUUAGAAACUUAUUAGUUUUACAAAUUAUUCAUACCUCGAAAAUGAUCUAUGACCAAUAUCACAUACAUUGACUGUACUUUACAUAGUAACCUAUAUAGAUAUGUGCUAGGAUAUAUCAUGAAUUUGAAAAUAAAUUAUGUACUUAUUUAUCUAAAACGAUAUCAUAGAUUAUCCAAUUCUAAACAUGACAAGCAUAUUUUUCCUAACAUUUGAUGUAUUUACAAGUAUUAUUGAAAGUUGCGAUAAUAUUUAUACCUAUUGUCAAGGAUUUGAUAAGAACAUAAACCUGAUAAAGAAAAUUCUCCUUAACGCAUCAGUACAGACUUCCGCCUGAAUGUUUUAUAAUCCAUACAAAAAAGUUACGUAAAAUAAACUAAAAUUAUAUAUUCACAUGUUUUAUAGUUUAUUUCAAUAUAUUUUACAAAUAUCAUGCUUAGUAAAUUGACGUAUUUUCUAAGAAAUAAAUCUAGUUGAUUUAAAGUUAUUUUACUAUUCUGCCAGAAAAUUUAAAUUUAUAUAACGGUGCUAUUCUAUAUGAUUUUUUUAAUCUCUUUGACUCAAUUUAUUCAUAAACAAUUGUUUGUUGUAUACAAAUAUUGUAGUGGACACAAAAUAUAUUUUCUAAAUAUAAAUUAUAUCCACUAAGUCAUAUUUAUUACAGCUACACUUACAUGCUUUUAUGCGCAAUUGUUUUUUUUUUUUUCUCAAAAUAAAUAUGUCACAAAAAAUCCUAUUUAUAAAAUCUUAUAUACAAAGAAACAUCUUAAGGCUUCGUUCACACAACAAACAGGGAAAUAAUUCGUUAAUAAUUACGAAUGUAUGAAUAUGAAUCGUUUUUAUUUUUAUAAUGCUUCUUGUCUUACGAUCGUACACACACUUCGAAUAUUUACGACUUUUUAUCUACAUAUCGAAUUUUCGUUAUAUUCGUCUUUUAACGAAACUAUUAAUAACGAAUCGUCAAAAACCGAUAUGUGUGUGAAAGUGAAGGGAUCCCCUUAAUACAUUGUAGUGUAUUCUAUAAAACAUAAUCGUUCCUUGAUUGUUGUUGUCAUCAUCACUUCUAAGUUCGUAUUCUGUUGGUUCGUGUAAAGAGAGAACUUGUGAAGUUCGCUCGUUACACCAUCAAAUGUUUUAGCAUCAACUGUAAUGAUAAUCCUCGUGCCAUUCCGUAUGGCAUGCCAAUUAUCAUUACCAAACAAAUUUUGCUAACAAAUAUUCAGUUUUCCCCUUACGUUGACUGACUAUAUCAAAGCCCACACUAUCUAUGUAAAUUUAAAAAUAUUUUAUCGAUAUUGUUAUAUCAAGUCACGUAUAUUUUAUCAUAAUACAUUAAUUUACAACUUCCAGAUUUAUUACCUUUUAUAUCUUUAUUAUAUCUAAAUACUUACAUAAUUUAUAUUUAAACAUUAUAUCUACGUUUUCACAUAUAUAAAAUAUUGCACAAGUCAGUCUCAAAUAUUACGUAUUAUUUAAUAGAUAGCCUUGCAAUUCUUUGGGCUUGUCAAUUUACUAUUAUAUCGUCUAAAACAUUCGCGUGUAAUGUAACAUCUAAGAAACAAGCAUAUGACAUCAAUGGAUAUCCUAUGUCGAUUUCCCGUAUCCGCAUUUGUACACGUCUGUCGACUGUUAUCGCGAAUGAAAGGCUCAGCGCUAUAUGGAUUGUACAAUUUAUUACCUAAGUGUAUACGCUGCGCCUUUGUGAAAACAAAAAAAUUAAAGCUAAACGUAUGCAAUGCAAUUUGAAAGGUGAAUCAGAAUCUCAGAAUUUAAGGUGUCAAUCAUUAAAUUUAUUUUUAUUUUGACCCUUAAUUAUUUUUCUUCUACAAUCGGUUAACUGUGAACAGUCAUAAUAUAUACGUACAAAAUCACGCCUUUCUCCCAUUGAGGCAGGCAAAAACUUAAGAAUCAAUGCACCAAUUCAAACAGAUCUCUUUUACUUCUCCCACAUUUAUUAAUCUUAUUUAUAUGUUCUUCAUCAAAGUAGCUGUUGGUGACCUAUUUCAGAGUCAUCUAGCAAACUCUACUGUACUUGUGGUGUUCUACAUUUCAUCUUUGUUUCGACAUACGCUUAGCUUAAAAUGCGCGUACAGAUGCAGAGGCGGUUCUAGCAUGUCCACAAAAAAACUCUAAGAUAUUUAGUAAAAAUUUUUACCAUACUCGUGUAAUGUAACUAUUUAUAUUACAUAAACAUGCUCGCAGUUUAUACGCACCUUUAGUUUCUAAUUCGAAGUAAAAAGAGGCCGGCCUCAAAGGAAAGCAUGGCUACUAUGGGGAAUUCGUGAAUAUUUGUUGCAGCUUUUAAGUGAUAAGGAGAUGCUCGCACCUCGUUACCGCAUGGUCUACAGGUGAUAAGAGCAAUGUUCCCAUGAACGUGAGGAUCAACUAGUCCGCGCAGCCCCAGUCGAAGGUGGAAUGGGUAUGCACCUACUCCAGAAGAUGGGUUGGACUCCAGGCCAGGGUUUGGGCAAAGAAGGCACAGGGACUCUCCAACCAUUGUUAUUAGAGGUCAAACUCGAUACAAGAGGGCUGCAGUCGAAAGAAGAGAUGAAACCUCACCGCCAGGGUCGUAGUAGAGGGGGCCCAGCUCCACUGAUAGCAGGCGGCAAGCACCCGGUGUCGUUACUAGGCGAAUACUGUUCUAAACAGAAACUUGGUCCACCUGAGUAUAACCUUUGCUUUGAAUG